Molecule: unclassified non-coding RNA, 258 nt
Filed under: Hevea brasiliensis (rubber tree)
Lineage: Eukaryota; Viridiplantae; Streptophyta; Magnoliopsida; Malpighiales; Euphorbiaceae
Source: RNAcentral
GGAGGUGCUCGGGCAAAUCCAGGUAAGAAGCGGGAAAUUGAAGACAACUCAAGGAAGAUGGGUGCAUUGUUCAGCAAACUGAACAGCGGGGAUAUAUCUAAAAAUGCUGCUGAUAAGCUUGGUCAGCUCUGCCAAGCUCUGGAUACUGGUGAUUAUGGUCGUGCACUACAGAUCCAGGUGCUUCUUACCACAAGUGAAUGGGACGAGUGCAGCUUCUGGCUGGCUACGCUGAAACGAAUGAUCAAGACGAGGCAGAAC